RNAcentral lists this ribosomal RNA (395 nucleotides) under uncultured bacterium. Its description in RNAcentral is "bacterial SSU rRNA". It matches the Rfam family "Bacterial small subunit ribosomal RNA", at positions 28 to 423 of the family's 1533-position model. The record is from RNAcentral.
AUUGAACGCUGGCGGCAUGCUUUACACAUGCAAGUCGAACGGCAGCACGGGUGCUUGCACCUGGUGGCGAGUGGCGAACGGGUGAGUAAUGCAUCGGAACGUGCCCAUGAGUGGGGGAUAGCCCGGCGAAAGCCGGAUUAAUACCGCAUACGCCCUUAGGGGGAAAGCGGGGGAUCUUCGGACCUCGCGCUAUUGGAGCGGCCGAUGUCGGAUUAGCUAGUAGGUGAGGUAAAGGCUCACCUAGGCGACGAUCCGUAGCUGGUCUGAGAGGAUGAUCAGCCACACUGGGACUGAGACACGGCCCAGACUCCUACGGGAGGCAGCAGUGGGGAAUUUUGGACAAUGGGCGCAAGCCUGAUCCAGCCAUGCCGCGUGAGUGAAGAAGGCCUCGGUGU